Molecule: ribosomal RNA, 492 nt
Filed under: uncultured bacterium
Lineage: Bacteria
Description: partial 16S ribosomal RNA
Rfam family: Bacterial small subunit ribosomal RNA
Source: RNAcentral
AGUGAACGCUGGCGGUAGGCCUAACACAUGCAAGUCGAACGGCAGCACAGUAAGAGCUUGCUCUUACGGGUGGCGAGUGGCGGACGGGUGAGGAAUACAUCGGAAUCUACUUUUUCGUGGGGGAUAACGUAGGGAAAAUUACGCUAAUACCGCAUACGACCUACGGGUGAAAGCAGGGGAUCUUCGGACCUUGCGCGAUUGAAUGAGCCGAUGUCGGAUUAGCUAGUUGGCGGGGUAAAGGCCCACCAAGGCGACGAUCCGUAGCUGGUCUGAGGGGAUGAUCAGCCACACUGGAACUGAGACACGGUCCAGACUCCUACGGGAGGCAGCAGUGGGGAAUAUUGGACAAUGGGCGCAAGCCUGAUCCAGCCAUACCGCGUGGGUGAAGAAGGCCUUCGGGUUGUAAAGCCCUUUUGUUGGGAAAGAAAAGCAGCAGGUUAAUACCCCGCUGUUCUGACGGUACCCAAAGAAUAAGCACCGGCUAACUUCGUG